UACAUGUGGGGCAAGCGUUGUUCGGAAUUACUGGGCAUAAAGGGUGCGUAGGCGGCUUGUUAAGUCAGUGGUGAAAGUUUUCGGCCCAACCGGAAAAUUGCCGUUGAUACUGGCGAGCUUGAGUGCGUGAGGGAUAGGGGGAACGAGCAGUGUAGCGGUGAAAUGCGUAGAUAUGCGGAGGAACACCGAUGGCGAAGGCAAUCCCCUGGACCUGUACUGACGCUCAUGCACGAAAGCGUGGGGAGCAAACAGG
RNAcentral lists this ribosomal RNA (253 nucleotides) under uncultured bacterium. Its description in RNAcentral is "partial 16S ribosomal RNA". It matches the Rfam family "Bacterial small subunit ribosomal RNA", at positions 524 to 776 of the family's 1533-position model. The record is from RNAcentral.